CGUGGAGCGAUUUGUCUGGUUUAUUCCGAUAACGAGCGAGACUCUAGCCUACUAAAUAGUCCACACAUUGCUUCUGUGCUGUGGUACUUCUUAGAGGGAUUUUCGGUGUACAGCCGCACGAAAUUGAGCAAUAACAGGUCUGUGAUGCCCUUAGAUGUCCGGGGCUGCACGCGCGCUACACUGGCGAAAUCAGCGUGCUUGUCCUUUCCCGAAAGGGAUUGGUAAACCAAUGAAAAUUUGCCGUGAUUGGGAUUGGAAAUUGCAAUUAUUUUCCGUGAACGAGGAAUUCCAAGUAAAUGCGAGUCAUCAACUCGCGUUGAAUACGUCCCUGCCCUUUGUAC
RNAcentral lists this ribosomal RNA (341 nucleotides) under Nematoda environmental sample. RNAcentral describes it as "SSU rRNA". It matches the Rfam family "Eukaryotic small subunit ribosomal RNA", at positions 1300 to 1665 of the family's 1831-position model. Lineage: Eukaryota; Metazoa; Nematoda. The record is from RNAcentral.